GACGAACGCUGGCGGCGUGCCUAAUACAUGCAAGUCGAACGCUUCUUUCCUCCCGAGUGCUUGCACUCAAUUGGAAAGAGGAGUGGCGGACGGGUGAGUAACACGUGGGUAACCUACCCAUCAGAGGGGGAUAACACUUGGAAACAGGUGCUAAUACCGCAUAACAGUUUAUGCCGCAUGGCAUAAGAGUGCAAGGCGCUUUCGGGUGUCGCUGAUGGAUGGACCCGCGGUGCAUUAGCUAGUUGGUGAGGUAACGGCUCACCAAGGCCACGAUGCAUAGCCGACCUGAGAGGGUGAUCGGCCACACUGGGACUGAGACACGGCCCAGACUCCUACGGGAGGCAGCAGUAGGGAAUCUUCGGCAAUGGACGAAAGUCUGACCGAGCAACGCCGCGUGAGUGAAGAAGGUUUUCGGAUCGUAAAACUCUGUUGUUAGAGAAGAAUAAGGACGUUAGUAACUGAACGUCCCCUGACGGUAUCUAACCAGAAAGCCACGGCUAACUACGUG
RNAcentral lists this ribosomal RNA (508 nucleotides) under uncultured bacterium. RNAcentral's name for it is "partial 16S ribosomal RNA". It matches the Rfam family "Bacterial small subunit ribosomal RNA", at positions 28 to 507 of the family's 1533-position model. The record is from RNAcentral.